This is a long non-coding RNA of Nannospalax galili (Upper Galilee mountains blind mole rat), 1045 nucleotides long. RefSeq lists it as uncharacterized. NCBI's taxonomy places the organism in Eukaryota, Metazoa, Chordata, Mammalia, Rodentia, Spalacidae. The transcript has 5 exons. The record is from RefSeq and is a predicted model, not a curated record.
CGCCACCCGGGCGACGUGCGCCCCGGAUCUGGUCCAGGAGGGAUAGCGUGCUAGGAGACCUGGGACACUGUCUUAGUCCUGUCCGCAGAAAGGCCACCUUCCCGCCUAGCAAGGUCCUGAGGGAGAGAAGGCACCGGGAGGCCCCUGCAGUGAGCAGUCCAGAAAAAAAACUCCAGGAGGUGGACAAGGCUGGACUUUCUCACAGUGCUUCAUGCCUGGUCCAUCUGUGUAUCAGGGAUCAGCCAUUAAAUCCAAAUUGUCCAGUCAGACCUGACAGCACAGUCCUGAAAUCCUAGCUACCCAGCUGCUGGGGCAGGAUGAUGGCAAAUCCAAGAUCAGCCUGGCCUGCACAACCUUCCCCGUUGAAGCCGGAAGCAGAAGGGAAAGGGGUGCUUUUCUUGGGGAUCUGAGGUCAUUACCCAGACAGCUUGUACCUACGAAGGUAGCAGUAAUAACCAUCCCCUGGUCUGCUACUAGACUUUCUUAGGGCCUGUCUUUAAACAAGGCAUUCCCUUCAUCUCUCAAAUGGGGAUUAUGUCUCAGCACCAGAAGCCCUGGAGGAUCCUCAAGAUGUGUACACACCACAGCCACCCUGUCUACCCCAAUAUUCAAUUCUUAUCCUUUCUAGGGAUGUUGGAAAGGCCAGUUUAAAAUUUAUUUGGUUUAUUUUCCUAAUCCCUUCUUUGUACAUGUCAAAACAUGCACAACAUCUGUUGAGAGGAAAAAAAUCACAAAGGGGGCAACAUGCAGUCCAAGGGCAAGACCCAAGGGGGAAUGCGCCCCCUCCCCCAGCUGUGCCUUGGGUGCUGAGGAGGUGAGGGAUAAGGUCUCUCAGAUGGUGUGCCUCUUGUUAUUAUUAUUGUCGUUAUUAUCUUAGCAGCUGCUUGCUGCCUACAGAAAGUCUCUGUCUUCCCCUGGGACUCUAGGGGCUGAAGGGAUGGGAUCAUCAGCAGAGACAGAACUGAACUCUUUGUGUAUCUUACACUCUGUUUAAAACAAAAAUUUAGGUGCCUAGAGAGAUGGCUCAGUGGUUCAGAGCACUGGC